AGUCGUAACAAGGUCUCCGUUGGUGAACCAGCGGAGGGAUCAUUAUCGAGUUAUUCAACUCCCAAACCCUAUGUGAACUUACCACUUGUUGCUUCGGCGCGCGCUUCGGCGCCGCCGAGGACACUUAAACUCUUUGUUUUUAUAAGCAUUUCUGAGUGGCCGAAAGGCAAAAAUACAAAUGAAUCAAAACUUUCAACAACGGAUCUCUUGGUUCUGGCAUCGAUGAAGAACGCAGCGAAAUGCGAUAAGUAAUGUGAAUUGCAGAAUUCAGUGAAUCAUCGAAUCUUUGAACGCACAUUGCGCCCGCCAGCAUUCUGGCGGGCAUGCCUGUUCGAGCGUCAUUUCAACCCUCGAGCCCGACUCUUUUGAGGACGGCUCGGCGUUGGGGGACGGCAGACUCCCCCCGGCAUCUCGCCGGGGACGCCGCCCCCGAAAUCUAGUGGCGGCCCUCCGAGGCGACCUCUGCGUAGUAACUUGUUCUCGCACCGGAAAGCUCAGAGCGGCCACGCCGUAAAACCCCAACUUUUUUCAGGUUGACCUCGAAUCAGGUAGGACUACCCGCUGAACUUAAGCAUAUCAAUAAAGUCG
RNAcentral lists this ribosomal RNA (588 nucleotides) under uncultured fungus. Its description in RNAcentral is "eukaryotic LSU rRNA". The stretch from base 188 to 341 matches the Rfam family "5.8S ribosomal RNA". The record is from RNAcentral. Lineage: Eukaryota; Fungi.